This 379-nucleotide unclassified non-coding RNA is filed under the name uncultured bacterium. RNAcentral's name for it is "contains 16S-23S intergenic spacer region". The record is from RNAcentral.
UCUCGGCUUACGCCGGCAGUCUCCUUAGAGUCCCCAACAUUACUUGCUGGCAACUAAGGAUAAGGGUUGCGCUCGUUACGGGACUUAACCCAACAUCUCACAACACGAGCUGACGACAGCCAUGCAGCACCUGUGUUCCCGUUCCCUUUCGGGCACACCCGGCUUUCACCGGGCUCCAGGACAUGUCAAGGGUAGGUAAGGUUUUUCGCGUUGCAUCGAAUUAAUCCACAUAAUCCACCGCUUGUGCGGGUCCCCGUCAAUUCCUUUGAGUUUUAGCCUUGCGACCGUACUCCCCAGGCGGCAAACUUAACGCGUUAGCUCCGGCACAGACAGACUGAACUGCCUACACCAAGUUUGCAUCGUUUAGGGCGUGGACUAC